Long non-coding RNA from Panthera uncia (snow leopard), 1579 nucleotides. RefSeq lists it as uncharacterized. Lineage: Eukaryota; Metazoa; Chordata; Mammalia; Carnivora; Felidae. The record is from RefSeq and is a predicted model, not a curated record. The transcript is spliced from 4 exons.
UAGGCAUCCCUUUCAUGACUUCAGCAUUUUGAUGGUACUACCAUGAUAAAGAAACCAGCUCCUGUCACUUCUGGAAGUUGAACUUUUGAAGUUAGGUUUUUUUGGAUCUGUUUGUUUUCUUUUCUCCUGGAACCAUUUCACUUCAAGAAAUUGCCACAGACACUCCAGCCCUCGGCAACUGCCACCCUGAUCAGUCAGUGACCGUCACCAUUGAGCUCUGUGAAGAAUGCUGGUGUUACUCAAUGGAACAGAAUAGAGAACCUAGAAAUGGACCCACAAACGUACAGCCAACUAAUCUUUGACAAAGCAUGAAAGAAUAUCCCGUGGAAUAAAGGCAGUCUGUUCAGCAAGUGGUGCUGGGAAAACUGGACAGCGACAGGCAGAAGAAUGAACCUGGACCACUUUCUUACACCAUACACAAAAACAAACUCAAAAUGGAUGAAAGACCUAAAUGUAAGACAGGAAGCCAUCAAAAUCCUUGAGGAGAAAGCAGGCAAAGACCUCUUUGAUCUUGCCCGCAGCAACUUCUUACUCAACACGUCUCAGGAGGCAAGGGAAACAAAAGCAAAAAUGAACUACUGGGACCUCAUCAAAAUAAAAACCUUCUGCACAGCAAAGGAAGCAAUCAGCAAAACUAAAAGGCAACUGACAGAAUGGGAGAAGAUAUUUGCAAACGACAUAUCAGAUAAAAGGUUAGUAUCCACAAUCUAUAAAGAACUUAUCAAACUCAACACCCCAAAAACAAAUAAUCCAGUGAAGAAAUGGGCCAAAGACCUGAAUAGACACUUCUCCAAAGAAAACAUCCAGAUGGCCAACUGACCCAUGAAAAAAUGCUCAACAUCACUCAUCAUCAGGGAAAUACAAAUCAAAACCACAAUGAGAUACCACCUGACACCUGUCAGAAUGGCUAACAUUAAUAACUCAGGCAACAACAGAUGUUGGCGAGGAUGCAGAGAAAGAGGAUCUCUUUUGCAUUGUUGGUGGGAAUGCAAGCUGGUGCAGCCACUCUGGAAAACAGUAUGGAGGUUCCUCAAAAAACUAAAAAUAGAACUACCCUAUGACCCAGCAAUGUCACUACUAGGCAUUUAUCCAAGGGAUACAGGUGUGCUGUUUCGAAGGGACACAUGCACUCCCAUGUUUAUAGCAGCACUAUCAACAAUAGUCAAAGUAUGGAAAGAGCCCAAAUGUCUAUUGAUGGAUGAAUGGAUAAAGAAAGUGUGGUAUAUAUAUACAAUGGAGUAUUACUUGGCAAUCAAAAAGAAUGAAAUCUUGCCAUUUGCAACUACAUGGCUGGAACUGGAGGGUAUUAUGCUAAGUGAAAUUAGUCAAAGAAAGACAAAAAUCAUAUGACUUCACUCAUAUGAGGAUUUUAAGAGACAAAACAGAUGAACAUAAGGGAAGGGAAACAAAAAUAGUAUAAAAACAGGAAGGGGGACAAAACAGAAGAGACUCAUAAAUAUGGAGAACAAACUGAGGGUUACUGGAGGGGCUGUGGGAGGGGAGAUGGGCUAAAUGGGUAAGGGGCAUUAAGGAAUCUACUCCUAAAAUCAUUGUUGCACUAUAUGCUAAUUUGGAUGUA